Molecule: long non-coding RNA, 1187 nt
Organism: Spinacia oleracea (spinach)
Lineage: Eukaryota; Viridiplantae; Streptophyta; Magnoliopsida; Caryophyllales; Amaranthaceae
Exons: 4
Source: RefSeq, a predicted model, not a curated record
UUAUAAAUUUUAUUAAUAUAUUUUAACGUAUAUUAUUUAUAUUUAAAUAGAAUUUAUGAAUUUUAGUAAUAAAUAUAUAAUUAACGUAUAUUUAUUUCAUUUUAAGUACGUUCUAAAUAUUUAACGAUUUUCUUGAACUUUAUUAUAUUUAUAUAUUUAAUGUAUAUUUAAUUUUAUUUAAAUAUAUUCUAAAUAUUUUAACGAUUUGUGCAAUCAAGAAUAAUUUUAGAAUUUUACGUUGAAAAGAAUUCGAAUUACGAAAACACGUUCGAUUGAAAUUAGAAACCAAUCCUAACCCUUUUGGAUUCAAACAACCUAAAUCCUAAUUGUAGCCCAAUUGGGUGAAGCCCAAAUGAUAAAGCCCAUAACUCUUUACUCCCUCUUUCAAUUGCAAGUAAAAACAAAAAAACAAAAAAAAACAAAAAAAAAAAAUAAAACCCUCUUCUCUCCUACUCCAUUCACGUGAAAUCAAACACCAAAACCCUUCCCUCCUUCACGUAACUCUCUCCUCCCCUUUGCUGUUCAGCCGCCACCCUGAACCCUCGCCGGCGACCACCGCCGUCCGCCCGCGCCGCCAGUAAGCCAACUCCUCCUCAUCUCCUCCGUCGUCUCUUCCUCCCUCUCUGUUUUCGUCCUUCCUCUCAGCCCUUCGUUUUUGCGCAGCAACACCGCAAGCCACGCCCUGUCACCGCCAGCAACCGCUCCAGCCUCAGCCGCCGGCCGCCGCCACUACAAGCCGGACCACCGCCGUCGCCGCUCACGUUCUCCGCGAGUCUCACCACCACCCAGCAUCACGACGACAGCCGUCGCACUGCCGCCCAGUCAAUCCGCUCCGUCGCGCUGCCCUACCCGCCGGCCAGCACCUCCCCUCUCCUCCUUUUGGCGGAGAAUUCUUUGUAGGCGAUUUUUGAAUUCGUUAAAGUGGCCUAUCGGUUUGUUUACACAAGUCUCUAAGGAUCAAUAAGCAUUGUCCAUCUGCAGGUUUGAAGAUGUUGCAUCAUUGGGAUCGGGAAUAGAGAGCUUGUAUUUAGUUUUGAUUUGCUAAGUUAACUUGGGUUUGUUAAUUGGGACUUUAAACUUGUCGUACUAUUUAUAUUUCCUUAUUUUCGUUGGAUGAUUCUUGGGGACUAAAUCUGUAAUAGAUUAUUUAUAAACCUAAAGUUAGUUUUAUGUUUUCCGCUGCAAAA